Molecule: non-coding RNA, 106 nt
Organism: Acanthosepion pharaonis
Lineage: Eukaryota; Metazoa; Mollusca; Cephalopoda; Sepiida; Sepiidae
Source: the annotation of a GenBank genome assembly
CAGCCACAUCAAAUUGAAAUACCAGUUCCUGUAUGAUCACUGAAGUUAAGCAAUGUCAAGCCUGGUCAGUACUUAGAUGGAUGUUCACAUGGGAAUACCAGGUGUU